UAAAAUUUAUAAAAUUAGGUAGUAAAGAAAUUUCUGAAACCUAAAGAAUUUGGCGGUAUUUUAAAUAAUUGGAGGAACCUGUUAUUUAAUUGACAAUCCACAACAUAUCUUUCCUAAAUUUUAUUUGUAUAUCGUCGUUUUGAUAAUAUUUAGAAAUUAUAGUCAAUUUUAAUUUAAUUUUAAAAAUCAGAUCAAGGUGCAGUAUAUUUAGGUUAUAAUGGGUUACAAUAUAAAAAUAUAUUAUGGAUAUAAACUUGAAAUUAUAUUGAAAGUGGAUUCAAAAGUAAAAUUAAAAUAAAAUGUUAAUUUGAUUAAUAAUUUAAAAUAUGC
RNAcentral lists this ribosomal RNA (330 nucleotides) under Maaykuyak vittatus. Its description in RNAcentral is "partial 12S ribosomal RNA". Lineage: Eukaryota; Metazoa; Arthropoda; Arachnida; Scorpiones; Vaejovidae. The record is from RNAcentral.